UCCCUAAGAUCCCUCGAAGAUGACGAGGUUAAUAGGUUCGAGGUGGAAGCGUGGUGACACGUGGAGCUGACGAAUACUAAUCGAUCGAAGACUUAAUCAA
This 100-nucleotide ribosomal RNA is filed under the name Staphylococcus epidermidis. RNAcentral describes it as "partial 23S ribosomal RNA". It matches the Rfam family "Bacterial large subunit ribosomal RNA", at positions 2825 to 2925 of the family's 2925-position model. The record is from RNAcentral. Lineage: Bacteria; Bacillati; Bacillota; Bacilli; Caryophanales; Staphylococcaceae.